This 103-nucleotide small nucleolar RNA is filed under the name Helianthus annuus (common sunflower). RNAcentral describes it as "Plant small nucleolar RNA R71". It matches the Rfam family "Plant small nucleolar RNA R71". From Rfam's summary of the family: R71 is a member of the C/D box family of snoRNAs containing the C (UGAUGA) and D (CUGA) box motifs. Multiple nearly identical copies of this snoRNA have been identified in Arabidopsis, and it is thought to function as a 2'-O-ribose methylation guide for 18S ribosomal RNA. Lineage: Eukaryota; Viridiplantae; Streptophyta; Magnoliopsida; Asterales; Asteraceae. The record is from RNAcentral.
AUACCGUGAUGUGGGCAAUUCUUCAACAACACUUUAAAAUGGUUGAAUGCUUCAUGAAAUAGCUCACCUAAUUGUUAGAAAUUUCUAAUAUCCUUCCGAGCAU